Molecule: transfer RNA, 64 nt
Filed under: Ruminococcus sp. AF17-11
Lineage: Bacteria; Bacillati; Bacillota; Clostridia; Eubacteriales; Oscillospiraceae
Description: tRNA-Val
Rfam family: tRNA
About the family: Transfer RNA (tRNA) molecules are approximately 80 nucleotides in length. Their secondary structure includes four short double-helical elements and three loops (D, anti-codon, and T loops). Further hydrogen bonds mediate the characteristic L-shaped molecular structure. tRNAs have two regions of fundamental functional importance: the anti-codon, which is responsible for specific mRNA codon recognition, and the 3' end, to which the tRNAs corresponding amino acid is attached (by aminoacyl-tRNA synthetases). tRNAs cope with the degeneracy of the genetic code in two manners: having more than one tRNA (with a specific anti-codon) for a particular amino acid; and 'wobble' base-pairing, i.e. permitting non-standard base-pairing at the 3rd anti-codon position.
Source: RNAcentral
GGGAGCAUAGCUCAGCUGGGAGAGCAUCUGCCUUACAAGCAGAGGGUCACAGGUUCGAGCCCUG